GUCCAUGCCGUAAACGUUGGGCACUAGGUGUGGGGAACAUUCCACGUUUUCCGCGCCGUAGCUAACGCAUUAAGUGCCCCGCCUGGGGAGUACGGCCGCAAGGCUAAAACUCAAAGGAAUUGACGGGGCCCGCACAAGCGGCGGAGCAUGCGGAUUAAUUCGAUGCAACGCGAAGAACCUUACCAAGGCUUGACAUGUGCUAGAUCGCCAUAGAAAUAUGGUUUCCCCUUUUGGGGCUGGUUCACAGGUGGUGCAUGGUUGUCGU
Molecule: ribosomal RNA, 265 nt
Filed under: uncultured bacterium
Lineage: Bacteria
Description: partial 16S ribosomal RNA
Rfam family: Bacterial small subunit ribosomal RNA
Source: RNAcentral